UACGGAGGAUCCGAGCGUUAUCCGGAUUUAUUGGGUUUAAAGGGUGCGUAGGUGGCCUGUUAAGUCAGGGGUGAAAGACGGUAGCUCAACUAUCGCAGUGCCCUUGAUACUGAUGGGCUUGAAUGAACUAGAGGUAGGCGGAAUGUGACGAGUAGCGGUGAAAUGCAUAGAUAUGUCACAGAACACCAAUUGCGAAGGCAGCUUACUAUGGUUUUAUUGACACUGAGGCACGAAAGCGUGGGGAUCAAACAGG
This 253-nucleotide ribosomal RNA is filed under the name uncultured bacterium. RNAcentral's name for it is "partial 16S ribosomal RNA". It matches the Rfam family "Bacterial small subunit ribosomal RNA", at positions 524 to 776 of the family's 1533-position model. The record is from RNAcentral.